This 91-nucleotide microRNA precursor is filed under the name Pelobates cultripes (western spadefoot toad). Lineage: Eukaryota; Metazoa; Chordata; Amphibia; Anura; Pelobatidae. The record is from RNAcentral.
ACCCUAACAGUCAAAGAGAUUAUUCAUUUACAUAUAGUCUCACUGACUAUAUGUAAAUGAAUAAUCUCUUUGACUGUUAGGGUUAUCUACU